ACCAAGGGUUCCUGUCCAACGUUAAUCGGGGCAGGGUGAGUCGACCCCUAAGGCGAGGCCGAAAGGCGUAGUCGAUGGGAAACGGGUUAAUAUUCCCGUACUUGGUGUUACUGCGAAGGGGGGACGGAGAAGGCUAUGUUGGCCGGGCGACGGUUGUCCCGGUUUAAGCGUGUAGGCUGGUUUUCCAGGCAAAUCCGGAAAAUCAAGGCUGAGGCGUGAUGACGAGGCACUACGGUGCUGAAGCAACAAAUGCCCUGCUUCCAGGAAAAGCCUCUAAGCAUCAGGUAACAUCAAAUCGUACCCCAAACCGACACAGGUGGUCAGGUAGAGAAUACCAAGGCGCUUGAGAGAACUCGGGUGAAGGAACUAGGCAAAAUGGUGCCGUAACUUCGGGAGAAGGCACGCUGACACGUAGGUGAA
RNAcentral lists this ribosomal RNA (420 nucleotides) under Salmonella enterica subsp. enterica serovar Montevideo str. CFSAN004346. RNAcentral's name for it is "bacterial LSU rRNA". It matches the Rfam family "Bacterial large subunit ribosomal RNA", at positions 1344 to 1766 of the family's 2925-position model. Lineage: Bacteria; Pseudomonadati; Pseudomonadota; Gammaproteobacteria; Enterobacterales; Enterobacteriaceae. The record is from RNAcentral.